This 433-nucleotide ribosomal RNA is filed under the name uncultured bacterium. RNAcentral's name for it is "partial 16S ribosomal RNA". It matches the Rfam family "Bacterial small subunit ribosomal RNA", at positions 29 to 507 of the family's 1533-position model. The record is from RNAcentral.
AACGAACGCUGGCGGCAUGCCUAACACAUGCAAGUCGAACGAGACCUUCGGGUCUAGUGGCGCACGGGUGCGUAACGCGUGGGAACCUACCCUUAGGUUCGGAAUAACUCCCCGAAAGGGGUGCUAAUACCGGAUAAUGUCUUCGGACCAAAGAUUUAUCGCCUUUGGAUGGGCCCGCGUUGGAUUAGCUAGUUGGUAGGGUAAAAGCCUACCAAGGCGACGAUCCAUAGCUGGUCUGAGAGGAUGAUCAGCCACACUGGGACUGAGACACGGCCCAGACUCCUACGGGAGGCAGCAGUGGGGAAUAUUGGACAAUGGGCGAAAGCCUGAUCCAGCAAUGCCGCGUGAGUGAUGAAGGCCUUAGGGUUGUAAAGCUCUUUUACCCGGGAUGAUAAUGACAGUACCGGGAGAAUAAGCCCCGGCUAACUCCGUG